Long non-coding RNA from Lampris incognitus (smalleye Pacific opah), 277 nucleotides. RefSeq lists it as uncharacterized. Lineage: Eukaryota; Metazoa; Chordata; Actinopteri; Lampriformes; Lampridae. The record is from RefSeq and is a predicted model, not a curated record. The transcript is spliced from 3 exons.
UUUCGACCAUAGAUCUGGCGAGCGGAUACCACCAGAUACUCCUGGUCUACCUAGAUGACAUCUUGGUUUUUUCAGAGACAUUUGAGCAGCAUUUGGAGAGACUUGAGACUGUGUUUAAGAGACUGGCAGAGACGGGCCUUAAGGCCAACUGAUGUCACACCUGUGUGUCACCACUGUGUGGGUGGCUGCCUCUCAAUGCAGUCUGUCAGCCUGCUCUGUCUCCUCACCGGGGUUUAAUUAGUGUCCCCUUAUGCAUCUGAGGACCAGCAGCUCUGCA